AACAUAAAAGUGGAGGCUAUUGUAACUGAAGAGAACUGGAAAGUUCCACCGUAGAAGGUAAUAGUCCUGUAAGUGAAACGAGAAGACCACGAGUUAUGAUCCAGAGUACCACGAGACACGUGAAACCUUGUGGGAAGCAGGGAGGACCACCUCCCAAGGCUAAAUACUACCUGAUGACCGAUAGUGAAGCAGUACCGUGAGGGAAAGGUGAAAAGAACCCCGGGAGGGGAGUGAAAUAGAACCUGAAACCGUGUGCCUACAACCGCUCAGAGCCCCUUAUGAGGGUGAUGAGGUGCUUUUUGUAGAACGAGCCAACGAGUUACGGUAUGUAGCAAGGUUAAGUACUUAAGGUACGGAGCCGAAGGGAAACCGAGUCUGAAUAGGGCGACUAGUUGCAUGCCGUAGACCCGAAACCGGGUGACCUAUCCAUGGCCAGGUUGAAGCGAGGGUAAAACCUCGUGGAGGACCGAACCACGUUGCUGUUGAAAAAGCAUGGGAUGAGCUGUGGAUAGCGGAGAAAUUCCAAUCGAACCCGGAGAUAGCUGGUUCUCUCCGAAAUAGCUUUAGGGCUAGCGUCGAGUAUGAGUAGUGGAGGUAGAGCACUGAAUGGGCUAGGGGGCAUAGCGCUUACCGAACCUUAUCAAACUCCGAAUGCCACAUACUUUGAGCUCGGCAGUCAGACUACGAAUGAUAAGAUCCGUGGUCAAAAGGGAAACAGCCCAGAUCGUCAGCUAAGGUCCCAAAGUGUAAGUUAAGUGGGAAAGGAUGUGAGAUUUCUAAGACAACUAGGAUGUUGGCUUAGAAGCAGCCAUUCAUUAAAAGAGUGCGUAAUAGCUCACUAGUCGAGAGAUCUUGCGCCGAAAAUGUAACGGGGCUAAACUUACCACCGAAGCUACGGGCUUGAACUUAGUUCAAGCGGUAGGAGAGCGUCGUAACCGGGCUGAAGUCGUACCGUAAGGAGCGGUGGACUGGUUACGAGUGAGAAUGUUGGCAUCAGUAGCGAGAUGUGGGUGAGAAUCCCACAGGCCGAAAACCUAAGGUUUCCUCAGGAAGGUUCGUCCGCUGAGGGUUAGUCGGGACCUAAGCCGAGGCCGAAAGGCGUAGGUGAUGGACAACUGGUUGAUAUUCCAGUACCACUACCAUCGUUAUUAUCGAUGGCGUGACGCAGGAGGAUAGUGUGUGCUAGCUAUUGGAUGCUAGUCUAAGCGUUUAGGCAGUGAGAGUAGGCAAAUCCGCUCUCAUAAUGCUGAGGCGUGAUGGGGAAGGUUCUACGGAACCGAAGUACAUGAUUCCACGCUGCCAAGAAAAGCGUCUAGAGAGAGAAGUAGUGCCCGUACCGCAAACCGACACAGGUAGGUGAGGAGAGAAUCCUAAGGCCGGCGGAAGAAUUACAGUUAAGGAACUCGGCAAAUUGACCCCGUAAGUUCGCGAGAAGGGGUGCCUACGAGAGUAGGCCGCAGAGAAUAGGCCCAAGCAACUGUUUAGCAAAAACACAGGUCUCUGCUAAAGCGUAAGCUGAUGUAUAGGGGCUGACGCCUGCCCGGUGCUGGAAGGUUAAGGGGAACACUUAGCGCAAGCGAAGGUGUGAACUUAAGCCCCAGUAAACGGCGGCCGUAACUAUAACGGUCCUAAGGUAGCGAAAUUCCUUGUCAGGUAAGUUCUGACCCGCACGAAUGGCGUAAUGACUUGGGCACUGUCUCAACUGUAAAUCCGGCGAAGUUGUAGUGCGAGUGAAGAUGCUCGCUACCCGCGAUUGGACGGAAAGACCCCGUAGAGCUUUACUGUAGCUUAGCAUUGAGUUUUGGUAUUGUCUGUACAGGAUAGGUGGGAGACUAGGAAACCAGGGCGUCAGCCUUGGUGGAGUCAACCUUGGGAUACCACCCUGACAGUACUGAAAUUCUAACUGGCGGCCAUGAAUCUGGUCACAGGACAUUGUUAGGUGGGCAGUUUGACUGGGGCGGUCGCCUCCUAAAAAGUAACGGAGGCGCCCAAAGGUUCCCUCAGAACGGUCGGAAAUCGUUCGAAGAGUGCAAAGGCAGAAGGGAGCCUGACUGCGACACCCACAAGUGGAGCAGGGACGAAAGUCGGGCUUAGUGAUCCGGUGGUACCUCGUGGGAGGGCCAUCGCUCAACGGAUAAAAGCUACCUCGGGGAUAACAGGCUGAUCUCCCCCAAGAGUCCACAUCGACGGGGAGGUUUGGCACCUCGAUGUCGGCUCGUCGCAUCCUGGGGCUGAAGUAGGUCCCAAGGGUUGGGCUGUUCGCCCAUUAAAGCG
Molecule: ribosomal RNA, 2274 nt
Filed under: Clostridium perfringens
Lineage: Bacteria; Bacillati; Bacillota; Clostridia; Eubacteriales; Clostridiaceae
Description: bacterial LSU rRNA
Rfam family: Bacterial large subunit ribosomal RNA
Source: RNAcentral